GCAUUAGUGGUGUAGUGGUAGCACGCGCAUCUUUGCAUGGAUGAAGAGCAGGUUCAACUCCCGCUUGAGGUU
Non-coding RNA from Parelaphostrongylus tenuis, 72 nucleotides. NCBI's taxonomy places the organism in Eukaryota, Metazoa, Nematoda, Chromadorea, Rhabditida, Metastrongylidae. The record is from the annotation of a GenBank genome assembly.